GAUGAACGCUGGCGGCGUGCCUAAUACAUGCAAGUCGAGCGAACGGACGAGAAGCUUGCUUCUCUGAUGUUAGCGGCGGACGGGUGAGUAACACGUGGAUAACCUACCUAUAAGACUGGGAUAACUUCGGGAAACCGUAGCUAAUACCGGAUAAUAUUUUGAACCGCAUGGUUCAAAAGUGAAAGACGGUCUUGCUGUCACUUAUAGAUGGAUCCGCGCUGCAUUAGCUAGUUGGUAAGGUAACGGCUUACCAAGGCAACGAUGCAUAGCCGACCUGAGAGGGUGAACGGCCACACUGGAACUGAGACACGGUCCAGACUCCGACGGGAGGCAGCAGUAGGGAAUCUUCCGCAAUGGGCGAAAGCCUGACGGAGCAACGCCGCGUGAGUUAUGAAGGUCUUCGGAUCGUAAAACUCUGUUAUUAGGGAAGAACAUAUGUGUAAGUAACUGUGCACAUCUUGACGGUACCUAAUCAGAAAGCCACGGCUAACUACGUG
RNAcentral lists this ribosomal RNA (497 nucleotides) under uncultured bacterium. RNAcentral describes it as "partial 16S ribosomal RNA". It matches the Rfam family "Bacterial small subunit ribosomal RNA", at positions 28 to 507 of the family's 1533-position model. The record is from RNAcentral.